GGGUUGGGCUGUUCGCCCAUUAAAGCGGUACGCGAGCUGGGUUUAGAACGUCGUGAGACAGUUCGGUCCCUAUCCGCUGCGCGCGUAGGAAAUUUGAGAAGAUCUAUCCCUAGUACGAGAGGACCGGGAUGGACGAACCUCUGGUGUGUCAGUUGUUCCGCCAGGAGCACCGCUGAUUAGCUACGUUCGGAAUGGAUAACCGCUGAAAGCAUCUAAGCGGGAAGCCAGCUUCAAGAUGAGAUUUCCAUCCCUUAGGGGGAGAGGCUCGCAGCUAGACUACUGCGUUGAUAGGCCGGAUGUGGAAGCGUGGCAACACGUGUAGCUGACCGGUACUAAUAAGCCGAUAACUUGACAACAUCA
Molecule: ribosomal RNA, 360 nt
Filed under: Leifsonia sp.
Lineage: Bacteria; Bacillati; Actinomycetota; Actinomycetes; Micrococcales; Microbacteriaceae
Description: bacterial LSU rRNA
Rfam family: Bacterial large subunit ribosomal RNA
Source: RNAcentral